AUUGAACGCUGGCGGCAUGCCUUACACAUGCAAGUCGAACGGUAACAGGUCUUCGGAUGCUGACGAGUGGCGAACGGGUGAGUAAUACAUCGGAACGUGCCCGAUCGUGGGGGAUAACGAAGCGAAAGCUUUGCUAAUACCGCAUAAGAUCUAAGGAUGAAAGAAGGGGCACGCAAGGCCUGGCGCGACCGGAGCGGCCGAUGGCAGAUUAGGUAGUUGGUGGGAUAAAAGCUUACCAAGACGACGAUCUGUAGCUGGUCUGAGAGGACGACCAGCCACACUGGGACUGAGACACGGCCCCGACUCCUACGGGAGGCAGCAGUGGGGAAUUUUGGACAAUGGGCGCAAGCCUGAUCCAGCCAUGCCGCGUGCAGGAUGAAGGCCUUCGGGUUGUAAACUGCUUUUGUACGGAACGAAAAGACUCUGGUUAAUACCUGGGGUUCAUGACGGUACCGUAAGAAUAAGCACCGGCUAACUACGUGCCAGCCGCCGCCGUAA
Molecule: ribosomal RNA, 498 nt
Filed under: uncultured bacterium
Lineage: Bacteria
Description: partial 16S ribosomal RNA
Rfam family: Bacterial small subunit ribosomal RNA
Source: RNAcentral